GGGAUGAUAGGAACUAAGGUAUCAUAUUGCCGAUUAUGCUGAAAAAAUGUCAAUAAAAACUACCGAAACAACCGAAAUAUUUACAAGUAUAAGCUAUCACUCCGUGUUUACACAGCCACCAUUUUUAUUUUUUCAGCAUAAUCAACAAUGUGAUACCUUACUUCCCAUCAUCCCCUGCACGCACAAACUAAAAGCUGGAAUUGCCUAUUUGCUGAAUAAGGGGCUGUUUAUAUGAUACCACUUUGCCAGGAUGAGAUAUAAGGCGGCAUGAUUUGGAUGUAUUGAAAUAAGUCAUGGUGCAUAAUUCAGCAAAAAUCUUCAUUAAUUUCUAGAGAUAGAUUAUAGUUACCUGUAAAUGAAAGGUUGUUCAAGCAGCAAUAAUAAUCUUCUUGAACUACAAGAUCUUUUCUACAAUAUUUGAGUUCUCUUAACCAGCAUUUGAACUAUCGUUCGGCCUAUUGACUUAUUUCAAUACAUGAAAAUCAUCCCACCUUAGCACCUUCCAUCAGGUAAACAGCCCCUAAGAUGCCUAUUCAGGAGGUAGGAAAAGUGCAAUAAUUUGAAUAUCAAACACCUUGCACAAAGUUAAAGGUCAGCUAAAUAUUCGAAUUCUACUCUCUUGGCAUGGGCGAUUUUAUACGAAUACCUAUGCUUAUAAUUUGUUGCUUCUGUGUGUAUAAUUGUAAUAUUGUCGGUGGUGAAGCUUGCCAUAGCAACAGGUCAUGCUAUGCAAGUUUUUAAUGAUUUGCAUUGCAGGCUUAUUAGCAUAGCAUGACCAGUUGCCAUGGCUAGCUUGCCACUAAUACUGUACAAUACCAUAUGUAUAAACAAGAAUAAUCACUUGAAUGAAUCAUUGGACAUGUAGAAUUCAAUAACAAUUCAUAUAUAGAAAAACUAAGUCAGUUUUUGUCGCAAUUAUCGUUUUAAUGGCACCAUCAAGGCUACCCCUGUUGCAGAACAACUGAACAAUCUGCUGAUGGGGAGACAAAAUCUAUUUGUUGACAUUUUUGUUUAACACGUCAGCUUCAGAUGACACCAUUCAUUUGUAAUGACUAAGAUUGUACUCAGUAAGAACUGCAAAACUAUAUAAUAAGAACGAAAUUGUGAGCAUUAUCGAAAAAUAUAGUAUACCCUGUCACCCUGAAAUGUAGUGACACAGCCAGGUGAAUAUAUGAGUAGGCCGGUAGGAUCAUUUCAUAUUGUGCUAACAAUGGACAUACCUCAGAGAUAUAAACAUACCAUCAUACCUUGUACAAAAGUCAGUUGGCUAUUACAUGUAAGUUGUAACUGCUGGUUAUUAUUAUUGCCUUUAUUUAUAGGGUCCGCUAAAGUAUAUG
Molecule: non-coding RNA, 1337 nt
Organism: Paramuricea clavata
Lineage: Eukaryota; Metazoa; Cnidaria; Anthozoa; Malacalcyonacea; Plexauridae
Source: the annotation of a GenBank genome assembly